UACGUAGGGUGCAAGCGUUAAUCGGAAUUACUGGGCGUAAAGCGUGUGCAGGCGGCCUAACAAGUGGUGUAUGAAAUAUCCAGGCUCAACCUGGAGGGGUUAUGCCAGACUGUUAGGCUAGAGUGCGAGAGAGGGGCGUGGAAUUCCGGGUGUAGUGGUGAAAUGCGUAGAGAUCCGGAGGAACCCCAGAGGCGAAGGCGGCGCCCUGGCUCGCCACUGACGCUCAGACACGACAGCAUGGGGAGCGAACGGG
Molecule: ribosomal RNA, 253 nt
Filed under: uncultured bacterium
Lineage: Bacteria
Description: partial 16S ribosomal RNA
Rfam family: Bacterial small subunit ribosomal RNA
Source: RNAcentral